GUGAAGCAUGUGGUUUAAUUAGAAUCAGCGCGAAGAACCUUACCAGGUCUGGACAUAAUCAGACAACCCUAGAGAUAGGGCUUUCCCCUUCGGGGGACAGAGUAACAGGAGGUGCAUGGUGGUCGUCAGUUCGUAUCGUGAGAUGUUGGGUUAAGUCCCGCAACGAGCGCAACCCUUGAUUUUAGUUGCCAGCAUUCAGUUGAGCACUAUAAGGUGACUGCCGGUGACAAACGAGAGGAAGGUGGGGAUGACGUCAAAUCAUCAUGCCCAUUAUGGCAGGGGGGACACACGUGGUACAAUGGAUGGUACAAAGGGUGGCAAAACCGCGAGGUUAAGCGGAUCCCAUAAAACCAUUUUCAGUUCGGAUUGUAGGCUGCAACUCGCCUACAUGAAGGUGGAAUCGUUAGUAAUCGCGGAUCAGCACGCGGCGGUGAAUACGUUCCCGGGCCAGGUACACACCGCCCGUCUCACCACGAGAGUGUGUAUCACCAGAAGUCGGUGGGGUAACCGUAAGGAGCCAGCCGCGUAAGGUGGGACAGAUGAUUGGGGUGAAGUAGUAACAAGG
This 565-nucleotide ribosomal RNA is filed under the name uncultured bacterium. Its description in RNAcentral is "bacterial SSU rRNA". It matches the Rfam family "Bacterial small subunit ribosomal RNA", at positions 932 to 1496 of the family's 1533-position model. The record is from RNAcentral.